Hippocampus comes (tiger tail seahorse) is the source of this 428-nucleotide long non-coding RNA. RefSeq lists it as uncharacterized. The transcript has 2 exons. The record is from RefSeq and is a predicted model, not a curated record. Lineage: Eukaryota; Metazoa; Chordata; Actinopteri; Syngnathiformes; Syngnathidae.
AGGAUUCUGGGGGGUUUUGUUUGUUGCCCCUUUUUCUCCCCCAAGCUUGAAAAGUGACGGUACCAGUGGCUAGCUCCGUGAAUAAAAAGCUGAAAAAUAAGACGGAAUUUUCAAAUAGCAACUCACAAAACGCGGUCCGAAUAAAACUGCGCCGAUGGACGGUCAACUGUGAAGCCAACACAUUUCCCUAAGUGACGUUUAGGAAUGAUGGCUGCUUCAAAUCUUUUCUGCCUCCCUGCUGUAGCCGCUUUUGAGAGUAUUUAUCAUACGACUCCAAUUUCAAAUCACUUCUCGGGGAAAUUGACAAAAGUGUGCUUGUGGCUGCUUGCUUCAAGGUGCCAAGUCCACUUCUUAUCUUGGCCCUGGGAAGAGAAGAUUAAAAAGCAAGAUAAUAACAUAGUGAGGCAUGUAUGCUCUUUGGAAAAAAA